CACAUUAGAACUAGGAAUAGCUGACUUAUUUAAGGAAUCUGAACAAUUAGAUCUCCUUCCCCUGAACACGCCCCAAAGAAAAAACAAUGUGUUCCAACACUGGGAGUUCUCUGGAAGCUGAGUGGAUGGGAAUAUCAAGAAUUCAACACCAUCAAAAUAUCCUUUAAGUGCCAAAUCUCUUUUAAUCAUGUUAUCCAACAGAUUCUUGUAGCUUUUUUCAUAACUUUCAAGAUCUUUAGCAAAGAAAUAUAGAGCAAUAUUAUCCUCUUUGGAACCAUUGUCAUGAAACUGUCUUGGCCAUGUGCUCAGGCGAAGCACUUCAUCUAGAGCAAUUUUCUGGGGAAACUGGUUUACCACUUCAAGAACUUUAGGUGAAGCACAAACUGAUAAAUGUGCUUGAAUUCCACCAUACACGUCCAGAAUUUUUCCACCCCUGUGCACUUCGAAGGCCCCCUGCCAGAUAUAUUCAUGCUCCGGGAUGGUUAAAAUCUUUGAAAAGAGGGACAUUGCUGCCAAAGCACAACUAGGUUUUCCAAUUGAAGGGACUGUGGAAUCCAAGUCCCUGGCUUUGAAAGGAAAAACAGCAUCAGUGGAAUGCACAUUCAGCUGCUUCUCAUUAUUAAUAUUUGCCUCUUUGUAAUUCUCUGAGGAACAAAUACCAAUAUUUGCUUGCCCUUCCUCAGUUCCUUCAUCAGAAAUCAUAUUCCUCAUUUUAUUUGAAACCGAAAACUGAUCAUGAGGGGCUAUCUCAAAAGUUACAUCCACAUUUAAUGAGGACAAGCCAUCAGAUUGAUCACUUUCUUUUUUCUUUUUGAAUAUCCCUGGCUUCUUAAGCAUAGCAGCCUCAAUGGCUGCUUUUAAUUUACUACCUUUGCUCAUGUCCUCCCUAACAGUCCUUGCAGCAGAUGUAUCAACAACAGAAGCCCGAGGACUAACAACUGUGCAACAAUCUGUAGCAUGCCCAAUUUCCUUGCACUUUUGACAGGUGAUAUUUUUUUGCCCAGCAGUAAUAGCAGGCCUCAUGCGAGAAACAGAAAUUUCUCUAGAUUUCUCACUCUGAUUUGAUGAUUCCCGUGACCGAGAUAAACCAUCUUGCACAUUUUCAUCUACAUUAUAAUACGGUCGCUCUGCAGUCCAAGAAAAACUCGAAGAGGGUUCAUCCUUUGGGCUAACUUGGUUUAACUUUUGUUCAACAAAAGCACUGCUCAUCCCAUUCACGGGUAAAGAUCGAACAGAAGUAACUGGAAUUUCUGCACCUUUACGAGCUACACUACUGGUUGACCUUGAUAAAGUAUUCAAUUUUCCAUCAGAUUGUGACGCAUUCAACUCUUUGUUGUUGCCUGUGGAUGAUAUCAUCACACUAUCACCACGAGGUGUGAGCUUUUGACUGAUCAUAGGCAUAGAGACAUUAGAACUAGUUGUCACUAAACUACCCAUGGGACGAUCUAAUUUAGAUGAACUUUUACUUUCAAAUGCAUUUCGUUCUUUCACUUGUUUUAAUGCUUUUAUAUCCUGAGCUUGAGAAAUUUUUGAAGAAAGCAUUUUAACUUUUGACUCAGUAGCAUUGGAACGGCCUGAGUUCACUGUUCUAAAUGACAAAGAUUUGCUUAUCAUCCUGGCAGUCCCCUCCUUCAUAUCAAGAGAACGACUUUCUCUACUGCCCUUCUGCUUUUGAGGAACCUCAUCAACAAGUUUUAUCUUUGGUUUGGAAUUUAAAGUAUUGAAUGAAUUGGACUUCAAUAAAGUACCCUUGGGUGUCUGAAUUCGUGGACCAAUAGAAGAACGUGUAGUUUCUGGACUAUCAAUACUGGAGUGAUUGACAACAGAUAUUGGAUGAUCUAGCUUUACUUUCCCUUUAUCUAAGCCCUUGAAAGAACUAUCCCGCAACAGUGCAGCUGUUCUGCUGGGGCUGGAUGACUUAGGAGAUCCAAAACUUGUUUCAACAGCCUGCCUUUUUGAAGUUGAAGCCACCUCCAUUGUUUCUACAUGUCUCUUGCCAGAGCUUGGUGCGUUUGCUUUGUUUGUUCUUUUACCUUCAACAUCUGAACCUUGCCUCUGGUUUUCUGUUUCCUCAGCUAACUUGCAUUCUUCGCACAACCAAUCCACUUCAGGAACUUUCUGAAGCAUUUCUCGCAUGCAAUAGGUGUGUUCUGCACCAUCAGUGCACUUGCUACAUAUAGCAAGCAAAUCUUCCCGACCAGCAUCCCCACAAAUAUCACAUACUUUUACAUCAUGUUCCACAAUUUCUGACUCAUCACUGUCAUCCCCAGAUACGAAUUGCAAAGCAGGCUCCUGAAUAUCUGGUAAUUCAACUGACUCAUUUGACUUCUCAUCUGGUUCAACUUGGUUGGAACAUUUAAUAACUUCAUCCAAUUGAUCUCCACUAACUUUUCUGGUCCCUUCUUCUACCUUUGGAUGAAGUUUCCUCGAAACAUCGAAAGUAUCUAACUUUGUAUCUUCUUCAAAUUGUGUUCCAUUUGUGGUGGACAGGCACCUGCUCUGGACCUUUGGUGAGCUACUGCCAGCAUACACAUCAUGUAAAGGUGUUUCUAUAAACUCUGACUUGGGCAAAAUUAGCGUCUUUCCAGUUCCUUCUGAAAUUUGGCUUGAAACCUUAGAAGAAUCAAACUUUGUAUCUUCUUCCAAAUGUAUUUCAUUUGUGGUGGAGGACAGGCACCUUUUCUGGACCUUCGGUGAACUACAGCCAGCAUAAGCAUCAUUUGAAGGUGUCUCUAACAACUCUGACUCGGGCGAAAUUGGUGCUUUUUCAGUUCCCUCUGAUCCUAAACUACCAACUAAAGCUGAACUACAUGAUAAAUUCUUCCUGUCUACGUUCCUGUUAUGAUGAAUUACUGUUAUACUUGCAUCAUUGGCUCUACUAACACAUGAUAUGCUAUCAUCGUGCCCUUCUAACACUUUGGGAUACUCAUUCUUAUUUGAUGGAGUUAUCUGAUCCAAAAUGCUCUGCGGUUCUGGAAAAAGUUGAUCCACUACAACAUUUCCCCCAGAGGACAAUUUCGGAAGCAUCUCAGACUCAACCGAGGUACCAACUAUAUCAGAACACCUUAUGCUUGCUUUACUUUCCACAUUUUCAGACAAGGAAUCGUGACUCGAAUUGAUGCUGAGCAGAUUACUUGCUUCACUAGUGGUAUGAUGUAAGCUGUCAUUUGCUCUAUUUUUAAAAGGUGAAAGUUCAUCCUCGUUAAUAGAAUUCUGACUUGUUGCAGUUUCACGACAGACUUCAUCAGAAAAUUCGUUGCCCUUUGAUCCCAUACAGGCUACCUUGAGAUGCAUACAAGAUGAACAAGGAGCAGAACACACAUUACAAGUCCCAGACUCUGCUCUUGUACUUGUACGAACCUUACGUCUCAUGGAACGCUUGCCAAAUCUUUUCUCAGAUUGCGAUGGUAACAUAUUCUUCUCAAUAUCUUGUUCAGUUUCCUCUACUGGCCCUUGCAUGCGACAACUCCCCCUCAAGACUGAUGUGAUCUUUAGUUCCCCGAAUCACCUCCGUCGCGUUGUAAAGUUCCUCCACGCUCCGUUCCCUUUGCCCGGCUGCCAUCCCCGCCGCCACCGACACAAUCCGCCGCAAUACAACCACAUCAAAUCCAAUUCAUUUCAAUCACCACAAAUUGCUCAAAAUUUCUCCUUCCGCCUCCCAAAUAGAUACGCAACUCAAUCUCAAAUUGAACACUAAUUAUAUCCCUAUAAUCAACUCCCUAUCUAGGUUUCCCCUUUUUCUCCUAAUCCAAAAAACGAGCAACAAUCAGAGACGAUAUCCCUUUCACUACCUCUAACAAGAGGAUCUGAUACGCAAAUACACACACAAAAAUAAAACCCCCAUCCACCUAUAUAUACGUAUAUAUAAUAUAUAAUAUAUAUGAAAUAAAAAAAAAUACUUAAUGUUAUAGUAAUUAUUAAUAUUACUAUUAUUAUUUUUAUUAUUAUCUAGUUUUAGCCGAAGAAGAAAAACGGAGGUUGUUUAUUUCCACACGCUAUUAGCAUUAUUUGGUUCUUGAUAAUAGAUACUCCUUUCGUGUUGGUCAAAGCGCUGCCCUGUGGCUGGAGCUGUGGUGGCGCAUCGUAUUUUAUUAGCAACAGCG
RNAcentral lists this unclassified non-coding RNA (4103 nucleotides) under Hevea brasiliensis (rubber tree). The record is from RNAcentral. Lineage: Eukaryota; Viridiplantae; Streptophyta; Magnoliopsida; Malpighiales; Euphorbiaceae.